CCCUGUGAACAUACCACUUGUUGCCUCGGCGGAUCAGCCCGCUCCCGGUAAAACGGGACGGCCCGCCAGAGGACCCCUAAACUCUGUUUCUAUAUGUAACUUCUGAGUAAAACCAUAAAUAAAUCAAAACUUUCAACAACGGAUCUCUUGGUUCUGGCAUCGAUGAAGAACGCAGCAAAAUGCGAUAAGUAAUGUGAAUUGCAGAAUUCAGUGAAUCAUCGAAUCUUUGAACGCACAUUGCGCCCGCCAGUAUUCUGGCGGGCAUGCCUGUUCGAGCGUCAUUUCAACCCUCAAGCACAGCUUGGUGUUGGGACUCGCGUUAAUUCGCGUUCCUCAAAUUGAUUGGCGGUCACGUCGAGCUUCCAUAGCGUAGUAGUAAAACCCUCGUUACUGGUAAUCGUCGCGGCCACGCCGUUAAACCCCAACUUCUGAAUGUUGACCUCG
This 444-nucleotide ribosomal RNA is filed under the name Fusarium oxysporum. RNAcentral's name for it is "eukaryotic LSU rRNA". The stretch from base 128 to 281 matches the Rfam family "5.8S ribosomal RNA". Lineage: Eukaryota; Fungi; Ascomycota; Sordariomycetes; Hypocreales; Nectriaceae. The record is from RNAcentral.